GACGUAGGGCGCGAGCGUUGUCCGGAUUUAUUGGGCGUAAAGAGCUCGUAGGCGGCUCGUUGCGUCGGCUGUGAAAACCCGCAGCUCAACUGUGGGCUUGCAGCCGAUACGGGCGGGCUGGGAUUCGGUAGGGGAGAGUGGAAUUCCUGGUGUAGCGGUGAAAUGCGCAGAUAUCAGGAAGAACACCCGUGGCGAAAGCGGCUCUCUGGAACGGUACUGACGCUGAGACGCGAAAGCGUGGGGAGCGAACAGG
This 253-nucleotide ribosomal RNA is filed under the name uncultured bacterium. Its description in RNAcentral is "partial 16S ribosomal RNA". It matches the Rfam family "Bacterial small subunit ribosomal RNA", at positions 524 to 776 of the family's 1533-position model. The record is from RNAcentral.